GCCAGGUGUGGUGGUGCAUACCUGUAGUCCUAGCUACUCGGGAGGCUGAGGCAGGAGAAUCGCUUGAAUCCGGGAGGCAGGGGUUGCAGUGAGCCGAUAUCACACCACUGCACUCCAGCCUGGGUGACAGAGUGAGACUCAGUCUCAA
Molecule: non-coding RNA, 148 nt
Filed under: Nomascus leucogenys (northern white-cheeked gibbon)
Lineage: Eukaryota; Metazoa; Chordata; Mammalia; Primates; Hylobatidae
Source: Rfam by way of RNAcentral